RNAcentral lists this ribosomal RNA (548 nucleotides) under Moesziomyces aphidis. Its description in RNAcentral is "partial large subunit ribosomal RNA". It matches the Rfam family "Eukaryotic large subunit ribosomal RNA", at positions 126 to 655 of the family's 3401-position model. Lineage: Eukaryota; Fungi; Basidiomycota; Ustilaginomycetes; Ustilaginales; Ustilaginaceae. The record is from RNAcentral.
CGUCUUCGGCGUCCGCAUUGUAAUCUCAAGAAGUGUUUUCCGCUUCGGACCAAGCCUAAGUCCCUUGGAAAAGGGCAUCAUAGAGGGUGAUAAUCCCGUACAUGGCUUGGAGCGCCCGAAGCUUUGUGAUACGCUUUCUAAGAGUCGAGUUGUUUGGGAAUGCAGCUCAAAAUGGGUGGUAAAUGCCAUCUAAGGCUAAAUAUUGGGGAGAGACCGAUAGCGAACAAGUACAGUGAUGGAAAGAUGAAAAGAACUUUGAAAAGAGAGUUAAACAGUACGUGAAAUUGCCAAAAGGGAAGGGUAGGAGGUCAGAGAUGCGGCCUGGGAUUCAGCCUUGCUUUUGCUUGGUGUUUUUCCCAGAUUGCAGGCCAACGUCGGUUUUGGGCACUGGAGAAGGGUAGGAGGAACGUGGCACCUCUCGGGGUGUGUUAUAGCCUCCUACUGGAUACAGCGACCGAGACCGAGGACAGCAGCGUACUCGCAAGAGCGGGCCUUCGGGCACCUUUACGCUUAGGGCGUUGGCAUAAUGGCCCUCUACCACCCGUCUU